UUGAAAGGGAAACGAUUGAAGUCAGUCGUACCUAUGGGUAAUCAGUCUUUUGGGUGUGAUUUUGUGGAGCGUGAGGAGUUAAACGCCUUCAUGCCUGCAUAUUCGUGCACUUUGGGUGUACUUGCCCGUGUGUAAGUUAACAUCAAUUUUGGUGGUCAUAAAAUGGCUGGAGGAAUGUAGCUUCGAUCUUGUAUUGAAGUGUUAUAGCCUUCGGUAGAUGUGACGAUCGGGAUUGAGGAUUGCAACGGAUACCCUUCGGGGCUACCUGUCUGAUCUCUGAUUGUUGCUCUGGUACUGAAAGCUUGCUUACGGUUAUCAAAGUCGAUGGUCAAUAGGUUAGAACGGGUUAAAUUCGUUAAGGAUGUUGACGUA
This 372-nucleotide ribosomal RNA is filed under the name uncultured Glomeromycotina. RNAcentral describes it as "LSU rRNA". The record is from RNAcentral. Lineage: Eukaryota; Fungi; Glomeromycota.